GGGUUAGUAGGUUGGUCAUGCCUCUGGUAUGUACUGGUCUCACUGAUUCCUCCUUCCUGAUGAACCUUAAUGCCAUUAAUUUGGUGUUUUGGGGAAUUUGGACUGUUACUUUGAAAAGAUUAGAGUGUUUAAAGCAAGCUAACGCUUGAAUACAUUAGCAUGGAAUAAUGAAAUAGGACGUUCGAUCCUAUUUUGUUGGUUUCUAGGAUUGACGUAAUGAUAAUA
RNAcentral lists this ribosomal RNA (225 nucleotides) under uncultured Glomeromycotina. RNAcentral describes it as "partial small subunit ribosomal RNA". The stretch from base 40 to 225 matches the Rfam family "Eukaryotic small subunit ribosomal RNA", at positions 686 to 874 of the family's 1831-position model. Lineage: Eukaryota; Fungi; Glomeromycota. The record is from RNAcentral.